UAGGGAAUCUUCGGCAAUGGACGAAAGUCUGACCGAGCAACGCCGCGUGAGUGAAGAAGGUUUUCGGAUCUUAAAACUCUGUUGUUAGAGAAGAACAAGGACGUUAGUAACUGAACGUCCCCUGACGGUAUCUAACCAGAAAGCCACGGCUAACUACGUGCCAGCAGCCGCGGUAAUACGUAGGUGGCAAGCGUUGUCCGGAUUUAUUGGGCGUAAAGCGAGCGCAGGCGGUUUCUUAAGUCUGAUGUGAAAGCCCCCGGCUCAACCGGGGAGGGUCAUUGGAAACUGGGAGACUUGAGUGCAGAAGAGGAGAGUGGAAUUCCAUGUGUAGCGGUGAAAUGCGUAGAUAUAUGGAGGAACACCAGUGGCGAAGGCGGCUCUCUGGUCUGUAACUGACGCUGAGGCUCGAAAGCGUGGGGAGCAAACAGG
RNAcentral lists this ribosomal RNA (429 nucleotides) under Chloroflexota bacterium. RNAcentral describes it as "Chloroflexi bacterium partial 16S ribosomal RNA". It matches the Rfam family "Bacterial small subunit ribosomal RNA", at positions 355 to 776 of the family's 1533-position model. The record is from RNAcentral. RNAcentral also lists the same sequence under 1 other name. Lineage: Bacteria; Bacillati; Chloroflexota.